UAGUUUGAUCAUGGCUCAGAACGAACGCUGGCGGCGUGCUUAACACAUGCAAGUCGAACGAGAAAGCUCCUUCGGGAGUGAGUAGAGUGGCGCACGGGUGAGUAAUACAUAGGAACGUACCAUUUAGUGGGGAAUAACUACCGGAAACGGUGGCUAAUACCGCAUAAUGUCUUAUAAGUAAAGUUAUAUUGAUUAAAGGAGGCCUCUGCUUGCAUGCUUUCGCUAAAUGAUCGGCCUAUGUCCCAUUAGCUUGUUGGUAGGGUAAUGGCCUACCAAGGCAACGAUGGGUAGCUGGUCUUAGAGGAUGAUCAGCCACACUGGGACUGAGACACGGCCCAGACUCCUACGGGAGGCAGCAGUGGGGAAUCUUGCACAAUGGGCGGAAGCCUGAUGCAGCAACGCCGCGUGAGUGAAGAAGGCCUUUGGGUCGUAAAGCUCUUUCAGCUAGAAAGAAGGGAGAUAAAGUUAAUACCUUUAUCUUCUGACGGUACUAGUAGAAGAAGCACCGGCUAAUUCCGUGCCAGCAGCCGCGGUAAUACGGAAGGUGCAAGCGUUGUUCGGAUUGACUGGGCGUA
This 575-nucleotide ribosomal RNA is filed under the name uncultured bacterium. RNAcentral's name for it is "bacterial SSU rRNA". It matches the Rfam family "Bacterial small subunit ribosomal RNA", at positions 9 to 562 of the family's 1533-position model. The record is from RNAcentral.